RNAcentral lists this ribosomal RNA (689 nucleotides) under Providencia rettgeri. Its description in RNAcentral is "partial 23S ribosomal RNA". It matches the Rfam family "Bacterial large subunit ribosomal RNA", at positions 2242 to 2925 of the family's 2925-position model. Lineage: Bacteria; Pseudomonadati; Pseudomonadota; Gammaproteobacteria; Enterobacterales; Morganellaceae. RNAcentral also lists the same sequence under 1 other name. The record is from RNAcentral.
GGGGUGCGGACAGUGUCUGGUGGGUAGUUUGACUGGGGCGGUCUCCUCCCAAAGAGUAACGGAGGAGCACGAAGGUUGGCUAAGCAUGGUCGGACAUCAUGCGGUUAGUGCAAAGGCAUAAGCCAGCUUGACUGCGAGAGUGACGGCUCGAGCAGGUACGAAAGUAGGUCUUAGUGAUCCGGUGGUUCUGAAUGGAAGGGCCAUCGCUCAACGGAUAAAAGGUACUCCGGGGAUAACAGGCUGAUACCGCCCAAGAGUUCAUAUCGACGGCGGUGUUUGGCACCUCGAUGUCGGCUCAUCACAUCCUGGGGCUGAAGUAGGUCCCAAGGGUACGGCUGUUCGCCGUUUAAAGUGGUACGCGAGCUGGGUUUAGAACGUCGUGAGACAGUUCGGUCCCUAUCUGCCGUGGGCGUUGGAAGAUUGAAAGGGGCUGCUCCUAGUACGAGAGGACCGGAGUGGACGCACCACUGGUGUUCGGGUUGUCAUGCCAAUGGCAUUGCCCGGUAGCUAAGUGCGGAAGAGAUAACCGCUGAAAGCAUCUAAGCGGGAAACUUGCCUUGAGAUGAGUCUUCCCUGACUCUUUAAGGGUCCUAAAGGAACGUUUAAGACUAAGACGUUGAUAGGUUGGGUGUGUAAGCGUAGCGAUACGUUGAGCUAACCAAUACUAAUGAACCGUGAGGCUUAACCUG